AGCGAACGCUGGCGGCAGGCCUAACACAUGCAAGUCGAACGGACCCUUCGGGGUUAGUGGCGGACGGGUGAGUAACACGUGGGGACGUGCCUUUAGGUUCGGAAUAGCCCCUGGAAACGGGUGGUAAUGCCGAAUGUGCCCUUCGGGGGAAAGAUUUAUCGCCUUUAGAGCGGCCCGCGUCUGAUUAGCUAGGUGGGGAGGUAACGGCUCACCAAGGCGACGAUCAGUAGCUGGUCUGAGAGGACGACCAGCCACACUGGGACUGAGACACGGCCCAGACGCGUACGGGAGGCAGCAGUGGGGAAUCUUGCGGAAUGGGCGAAAGCCUGACGCAGCCAUGCCGCGUGAAUGAGGAAGGUCUUAGGAUAGUAAAAUUCUUUCGCCGGGGACGAUAAUGACGGUACCCGGAGAAGAAGCCCCGGCUAACUUCGUGCCAGCCGCCGCAGUAA
This 449-nucleotide ribosomal RNA is filed under the name uncultured bacterium. RNAcentral describes it as "partial 16S ribosomal RNA". It matches the Rfam family "Bacterial small subunit ribosomal RNA", at positions 29 to 523 of the family's 1533-position model. The record is from RNAcentral.